GUUGACCUCGGAUCAGGUAGGGAUACCCGCUGAACUUUAAGCAUAUC
This 47-nucleotide ribosomal RNA is filed under the name Calycina marina. RNAcentral describes it as "partial 28S ribosomal RNA". The record is from RNAcentral. Lineage: Eukaryota; Fungi; Ascomycota; Leotiomycetes; Helotiales; Pezizellaceae.